UGGAAAUGAUGACACAGAGAUAACUGGGUGCAUUUGUUUGAAAGGUGUGUGAUUUGAGCAUUUUAAAACUUACUAUAAAAUUAAGUAAACAUUAAAAUGGGGCGGGAGGGGGCUUGUAUGUGUGUGUGCGUGCAUGGGGGUAAUAAUGUAAAGGCUGAGGAAAGGGAGCCCUGACUGACAAUGCAGAUAUCGGAGUGCAUCUGAGGCUGUUGUAAAAAAUACAGGAGUGUUUGUUACAGCUUUGCCGAUGAUUAUAGCUCAGCAACAGCUCACCUACCUGCCUGGCACCCAAGUCUCUAACAGGUUCAUAAAUGUGGACCUGUGAUCUGAUCCAU
Sarcophilus harrisii (Tasmanian devil) is the source of this 335-nucleotide non-coding RNA. The record is from Ensembl. NCBI's taxonomy places the organism in Eukaryota, Metazoa, Chordata, Mammalia, Dasyuromorphia, Dasyuridae.